UGGGGGAUAUUGCACAAUGGGCGCAAGCCUGAUGCAGCGACGCCGCGUGGGGGAUGAAGGCCUUCGGGUUGUAAACUUCUUUUGCUCUGAACAAGGCGCACUUUGGGGUGUGUUGAGUGUAGGGGUUGAUUAGCGCCGGCUAACUACGUGCCAGCAGCCGCGGUAAUACGUAGGGCGCGAGCGUUGUCCGGAAUUAUUGGGCGUAAAGGGCUUGUAGGUGGCUGGUUGCGUCUGUCGUGAAAGCUCAUGGCUUAUCUGUGGGUUUGCGGUGGGUACGGGCUGGCUUGAGUGCAGUAGGGGAGGCUGGAAUUCCUGGUGUAGCGGUGGAAUACGCAGAUAUCAGGAGGAAUACCGGUGGCGAAGGCGGGUCUCUGGGCUGUUACUGACACUGAGGAGCGAAAGCAUGGGGAGCGAACAGG
Molecule: ribosomal RNA, 419 nt
Filed under: bacterium
Lineage: Bacteria
Description: partial 16S ribosomal RNA
Rfam family: Bacterial small subunit ribosomal RNA
Source: RNAcentral